RNAcentral lists this ribosomal RNA (364 nucleotides) under uncultured bacterium. RNAcentral's name for it is "bacterial SSU rRNA". It matches the Rfam family "Bacterial small subunit ribosomal RNA", at positions 129 to 507 of the family's 1533-position model. The record is from RNAcentral.
CCCUGCACUCUGGGAUAAGCUUGGGAAACUGGGUCUAAUACCGGAUAUGACCACAGCAUGCAUGUGUUGUGGUGGAAAGAUUUAUCGGUGCAGGAUGGGCCCGCGGCCUAUCAGCUUGUUGGUGGGGUAAUGGCCUACCAAGGCGACGACGGGUAGCCGACCUGAGAGGGUGACCGGCCACACUGGGACUGAGACACGGCCCAGACUCCUACGGGAGGCAGCAGUGGGGAAUAUUGCACAAUGGGCGGAAGCCUGAUGCAGCGACGCCGCGUGAGGGAUGAAGGCCUUCGGGUUGUAAACCUCUUUCAGCAGGGACGAAGCGUGAGUGACGGUACCUGCAGAAGAAGCACCGGCUAACUACGUG